UGAGGAACAUGACCUUCGGCGGGGGAGUAGCCGGCCCAACGGCCGGGUAAUACCGCGUACGACUUUUCGGGGACAUCCCUGGAAGGUGAAGGCAGCAAUGCGCCGAUGGAGUGCCUCGCGGCCUAUCAGCUAGUUGGUGAGGUAACGGCUCACCAAGGCGACGACGGGUAGCUGGUCUGAGAGGAUGGCCAGCCACAUUGGGACUGAGACACGGCCCAGACUCCUACGGGAGGNAG
RNAcentral lists this ribosomal RNA (236 nucleotides) under uncultured bacterium. RNAcentral's name for it is "partial 16S ribosomal RNA". It matches the Rfam family "Bacterial small subunit ribosomal RNA", at positions 118 to 351 of the family's 1533-position model. The record is from RNAcentral.